UACGUAGGGGGCAAGCGUUGUCCGGAUUCAUUGGGCGUAAAGAGCGUGUAGGUGGCCAGGUAGGUCGGUUGUGAAAACUGGAGGCUCAACCUUCAGAGGUCGACCGAAACCAUCUGGCUAGAGUCCGGGAGAGGAGAGUGGAAUUCCUGGUGUAGCGGUGAAAUGCGCAGAUAUCAGGAAGAACAGCCGUGGCGAAAGCGGCUCUCUGGAACGGUACUGACGCUGAGACGCGAAAGCGUGGGGAGCGAACAGG
This 253-nucleotide ribosomal RNA is filed under the name uncultured bacterium. RNAcentral's name for it is "partial 16S ribosomal RNA". It matches the Rfam family "Bacterial small subunit ribosomal RNA", at positions 524 to 776 of the family's 1533-position model. The record is from RNAcentral.